RNAcentral lists this long non-coding RNA (6275 nucleotides) under Phaseolus vulgaris (common bean). Its description in RNAcentral is "long non-coding RNA (PVUL_LNC002428)". Lineage: Eukaryota; Viridiplantae; Streptophyta; Magnoliopsida; Fabales; Fabaceae. The record is from RNAcentral.
UUGGCGAAUGUGAGUGACAGUGGAAACAUAAUGAACUGGUAUGUUGUGUGAUGAGAUAAGGUGUGAGAGAUGCAUAAGCUGAUUCAGAUGUCCCUGUGCAGGGAAAGGUAUGAGAACCACCACCACUUGGUUUUGGUGAGGAAGAUUGUCUCCAUUGAAAGCCAUUGAGAAAAUGCUUAUAUCUGGUGUGAGAAUGGUGAGAUCCAGCAUUGUAAAUGGCCUUGGAUAAAGUAUUUAGAGAAACUUGCAAAAAGAGAUGUUUUGGUUACUAAAAAAUUAAUCACGUCCAACUCGAGGGGGCCAGUUAAUUAUUUAAAUAAAUUAAUGGAUUUGUUGUUUUAUCAUUUUUUAUUAGAUAAUUGUUUAAACCAAUUCAUAGUGAACCCUACAAUUAUGUAUCGAAAACAAAAUUUGAUAUUUUUCGUUUUGCUCUGAAAUAUGAUUCUACCGAAAUUAAUAUGAUUUUAGCGUAUAUUUGUCUUACACUAGAGAGAGAUGAUAGUAUAAUUGUGGUGAUAUUAAGUUUUUUUCCAACGAGUAAAAUGAGUAGAUCAGUAAUAAUAAAAAGGGGUUAAGAUAGUUAUGCAAGCAAUAUAAAAGAUAUUUGAAACAACAAAUAAAAAGCGGUUGAUUCAAAGUUCUUCCACCAUUGAAUUUUUCACAGGUUCUCUAAAGAUUAAUCUUUUUUUAAUUCUCCAACAGAGCUAAACCAGAUUGAACAUGCGCCGAUCUGAUUUACCUGAAACUCACCAGUAAAGCAUGUGUCUACUGGUUUAAUCAAUACCCACUUUGUUCCAUGCGUAUACUCCAUGAGAAUAUUUACCUCCUCUCUCUUGUAUCAUGCGUCCAAGAAAUUAAUCAGAACAAUACGAACUAACUAAGAAACCAAAGUUUAAGAUAUGGAAGACUUCUAAUGCGUUUAAGUACAAGCUCUCACAAAAACCCAAUUUUUUAGGAUAUUAGACUAUUAAAACAACUGCUAUAGAGAAUUAAAAAUCAAAACUUUUAUUGAACAAAACCUCAUAACUCAAUGGAGAAUUACAAAAGAAUCAACAAAAAAGAUUUAGCCUUCCAUACGGAGGCAAAACAAAAAAAUUACAAAGAAGAAAAAGAAACUAAGAAAUCCCUAUGAAACUCUCCCAUUUCUCUUUGAUGUUUGUGUCUUUUUAUAGGGUUUUUUGCUUUAAAGAUCUUGAAAAAAAUAUUGUAGUUUAUAUUUUAUUUUUAUUUUUAAUGUUUAUAUUUGUUAAAAGGAAAAUCAAAUGAGUUUUGGAGAAUUAGAAAAGAAGAAGUUGAACAUAAUUAACACACACAAAAAUCUCAUAUUAAAUUUGUAUAACCUUUUUUUACCUUCUCCGUCUAUCCCUUCAACCGGCCGGCUCUGUUUUUUAGUUCCAUUUUAUGAUUGUUACAAGUAAGUGUUACGUGAUUAACGAUGGAAGCUAUAGCAUUUUGGUGUUUAUUUGGUUAAUAUAAGACAAACUAUACUUUGACAUCUACCAAAAAAAAAAAAUACCCACUUAACAAUUAUUUUAAUAACAUAACAAUAUAUAUUAAUAUUUUAAAUUAAAAAAUAAAUAAGAAAAUAAAUUUAAUUAAAAUAUUAAUAUUAAUACUUUAAGUUGUAUAAUAAGUAUUAUUUAUUUUAUAGGUGUCAAAUAUCAUACCUCAUAAUUUAACUAUGUUUUCCACUUCAUCUUAAUUCAUGCGGCACUUAUGUCAAAAGUUGUAGUUAUAUAAAUUCAUUAAAAUUUAAAUUGUAAAUUUUGAUAUUAAAACUUCUUUUCAGAAUCUCUUUAAAAAUCAUAAGAUUUUUUCAUGUGAAAAUAAUUUUUUUUAAAUACAAAACCAGCAUAUUCUUUUAAAAUUAUUGGGUGGCGCAGUUGUCUUAAAAAAUAUGAAAUUGUUUGAAAAAUGAUGAGAAUUAAAACAAAACUUAUUGAAUAAUAUAAAAAAAAAUAUGUAAAUAAUUGUGAAAUUCAGUUAAGAUAAUUAACUUUUUCUUAAGAGAACUAAAUUUGGGGAUAUUCCAUUAAUAUUUCCUACAAACUAUAAAGAGAUGGUUGGUAUUUAAGAGUAUAAAAUUUGUAUGAAUUAUUUUUCAAAAAUGUUUUUUUUUUUCAAUAGAAUCGGGUUCUAAUAUAUAGAAUAACAUAUAAAAAAAUAAAAUUUAAGACAAAUAGGUAAAUUCAAAUAUUAAAGUUUUGCUGCAUUCUUGUAACUAUCCAACUACUUGGAUUAACUUGCAUCCAAAACUUAGUUUUGCUGCAUUCUUCGUAACUAUCCAACUAUUUGUAUUAGACCAAGAUAAUUUAAUCUUAAACGAUUUCAUCAAGAGAGUUUUAUUAAAUAGUCUUAUGGUUGAUAAUUUAUCUUUUACCAUUUUCAUAAUCACUAUAAAAAAAUUUAUUUAAUAAUCAAUGUUAGUUAACGAAAUAAGUUAGGUCAUUAAUUGUGAUUAAAAUAACGAUUUAUUGAUAUUUGUUACAAAUUUAUUACUAUCACAAUAAUUUAUUAGUAAUAUUAAUUUGUGUAGCGGAUCGAAAUAAUAUUUGUUAAAUUUUAGUCAUUAAAUUGAUGGUUAUAUAAAGUAAAAUAAAAGUUAUGUUGCCACCGAUAAAAAAAUUAUUUAUUUUAUCAAUUAAUUUAAUUUUGAUUACUAAAUCACUCUUUAAUGAAUAAUUUGAUUUUAUCGUUAGAACAUUUUAUUGUGACAUAAUUAUGCUAGAACAUUUUUGUCCUUGUUUUAAUCUAAACCUUAAUGGACAUAAGUCGAGCUUAUCGAUAAACCUAUGAGAUAAUCCAUUUUAUAAAAUAAAAAUAUUAAAAAAACAUAUUUUAUUAAAAAUAUACAUGAAUUAGAAUUUAUACACCAAAUCUAAAAUUAAUAUUAGUUUUAUCGAUAUAACUUAAAUUUUAAAAAAUACAUAUUUUAUUUUUAAUAAUUUUUUAUUUAUUUUAAAGGAAACAAAUAAUCUUCUAAUCUGGAUUAAAUCAAACUUAAAAAUCACAACCCUUUAAAAUAUUAAUCAAAUUAAUUAGAUCACCACAAUUUUAUUAUAUGAUGCAAGAAUUCCAAUUAAAUAAAAAUGUGCCACACAUUUUACCACUUUUACUUCUCUGCUUCUAAUGCCACUCUUACCAAAACUUUACUCUACACUUCCUAUGUCUAGAAACUUAAUAUUUUAGUCUUUGUUUGUACAAGCAAUUAUUUUAAUGUUUUAAUUUUAAUCCUGUACUCAAUACUAGGUUUUCUAACACUACUACAAAAUAAAUAAAUAAAUUAUAAUAUAAAACUGUAACGUCGUGCAUAUCUAUAGUAGAAUUUCAAGAUAUUUAAUUUAUUUGACAUAAAAAGUGUUUUUAGAAUUUUCAACAAAAAAAGUUAUUCUUGAUACUCAAUUUCAAUUUAAGUAUAAAAUUGUACAUAUUAGAGAAGUAUGUGACUCGGUAUCAGUCAUCAAACGAUUAGUUGAAAACAUAUUUAAAACAGUUAGAAUAAAUAAUCGUUAACACAGUUGUAAGAACAUUUUAAGAAUUCGGAAUACGUCCUACCAAAUAUGGGUAACAUCCCCAAAAAUCAGAUAAUUUCUCUAAAAAUAAGCUAACGUAUAUGAUGAAUUUGGCUCAUUACAAGAGAUGACUCAUGAAAAAAAAAUUAUAAAUAAAUCAUCUACAACAGAGUAAGAUAUGUUUUUAAUCAAUUCUUAAUAUAUACUUCGUAUAUUGAGUACUUACUUGAUCGUCGAAGUACCUUUUACAGACUAAUCCGAUCGAGCACCAACAAAUUCAAGAAAGAGACUUAAAGUGAAGAAGAAGGAAAUCACUGAACACGUCAAUAAUGAUACAACUAGUUUCAAGUACUAUGUAGACAUACUUUGUUUAUACAAGUACAAAAAUAACAUUAUUUUAUUAAAAACACAAUUUUUAUCUGGUUAGAGGAGGAUCUUGCCUCUUACUAAAAUAUGGAAAAUAGAAAAGAAAAAAAAAUUAUGUAAAAUAUAUGAACUAAAUGAUUAAUUAAACUUUUUUUAUAAAGAAAGUAAUUCAAACAGAGAGUGAGUCCAAACAAAGAACAAGUUGCAAAGUGGGAGAGAGGACAUAUCCUUCUUGUCUCUAUUGGGGACAUGCACCAUUUUUAUUUUACUUUUUUCUCCAUUAGUGACAAUUUUUAUUUUAUUUUGUCUCAAUCAGUCAAACUUUUUUUACUUUAAAUAUCCUCCAACACUUAUAAAGUAGAUUUUUUACAAUCAGCUCUCAAAAUAGAAAAAAGUUUGGCCGCCACCAUUAUUCAAAAUUAAACAUCUGUUCUGCUUUUUAUAAAUAAAAUAUUAAAAUAUUAUAUUAUAAUAAAAUAAUAAUUUAUUUAGGUUUAAAAUAAUAUAGAACACUGUUGAGUGUGACCUUAUUUAAAAAGAAAAAAAACUAUUUUCUACACUCUAUAUUUUCACUUACAUAUAUUUAACAACUAUAUAUAAUAAUAAAAUAUUAAAUUAAGUUAUUUAUAACAUCAUUGUGGUCAUGUUAGAGGUUGUUAAACAGGACCUAAGGCUUGGCUAUGUAAAUAUAUGGAAAAUAUUUUUUUUUAUCCUACACAUUAAAAAUAUAUACUUAACAUCACAUUAUAAUAAUAUUUAAAAUUAAAAAAUAAAUAUGCAUUAUCUUCACGAACUGUUAUCAAAUUACUACAUAAUUGAUAUUAAAUAUGCAAGCCAAAUUGGUUUUGGAUUAUCUUCACGAACUGUUAUAAAAUUCUGAUAUAUUAAACGAGGAAUCACACUAAUACAAGGUGAUGAGAUUAUUUAGUGAUAUGAGCAAUGAAAGAAUCCAUUUCCAUGUGAGAAACUCCACCUUCUUCUGUGGAUUUAUGGAUGACCCUUUUAAGCCUCUCUGCUCUCUCUCUCAUCUCAUCACCUUCCUCUGUUUGCAUCAACCUUCUCACACCAUCCUCAACAACUGAACCACUCACCAACGAGUUCCUCUGUGACCAAUCCUUCACAACCAAACCAACCUUCAGAACCUCUGUGAUCAGAGUUGCGUUUCUUGGUUGGUCAGAGUGAAAGGGCCAUGUUGCUAUUGGCACCCCCAUGGUUAUGCUCUCCAAGCACGAGUUCCAUCCACAAUGGCUCAGAAACCCCCCUGUUGAACUGUGGCUCAGAAUUUCCAAUUGGGGUGCCCAAUCCCUCACAACUAGCCCCAUCUCUUUCACUCUCUCCUCGAACCCAUUUGGAAGUUCAUACCUUUUUGCUUCACCUCCGUCAAAGAUAUCACCUUUAUCAGCAUCUCUCAGCACCCAGAUGAACUUCUGCUUGCUCUGUUCCAACCCAGUUGCUAUCUCUUGGAUCUGUUCAUCUCUCAAAGCUGUUGUGGUCCCGAAGGAUAUAUAUAUCACUGAAUUUGGCUCUUGUUUAUCAAGCCACUCCACGCAUGAGUGCCUUUCUUUGGAACCUUUCUUCUCAACGGCUAAAGGGUUGAACGGUCCCAGUGCCCAAAUCUUCUUGCCACCAGUGAUAGCCUUCAUCAACUCAAUGUAAUCGCCUUCAAUUACCCUGCUUGUGUUGUAGACGAUUCCAUCGCUGAGUUUGAGUAACUCACUCUGUGCACGAAAAUCCAAGAAUUGGGUUGGGAAGCAUCCUUCGAGAGAAGGAAUUUUCAGGGCGUGCAUGGCUUCAACCGAAGGCCUUCCCAUUCUGUCCCAAUAGGCAAGGUAGACGGAAAAGGCGCAUGUGCAGUGAAAAGUGUAAUUCUCAACAUUAGCCAUGUUUGUGGCAUCUUGUGCCACUGAAGCCAUGGGAGAGUCAUGGAUGACUAUAACCCUUUUGGCUUCAGAGGAGAGGGAUUGAAGCAGUUCCCUCACAGGAUCUCGAAGAUGCAUAGAGGCCUUAAGGGAAGGAAUAAGAUGACAUGGGAAAUCAGUUUCUGGGUUGUUAGGGUUGGGAGGAGGGGAAACAAAGGGUGGAACUUCAAAGCCAUGGAAAUGAAUGUUAGAAUGAAUGGAUUUGUGGUGUCUGAGUGUGGCUUGGCGAAUGUGAGUGACAGUGGAAACAUAAUGAACUGGUAUGUUGUGUGGUGAGAUAAGGUGUGAGAGAUGCAGAAGCUGAUUCAGAUGACCCUGUGCAGGGAAAGGUAUCAGAACCACCACCACUUGGUUUUGGUGAGGAAGAUUGUCUCCAUUGAAAGCCAUGAACAUGAACUUCUCAGCUAUUCAACUUUGGCAACGGAUUUCUGAGCAGAGGAUGGGUUGAAUGAUGUUUAGGUCUACAAGUAAAAUAUUU